ACAGGGUUCAAUGUUAAGUCUGGUUCCUCUUCCAAAGAUUAUCUUUUUCUUAUUCACACAACAUGAAGCAUCGUAACACAAACUCAGAGACAAACUCAACCAAACUUCAUGCAGAAAAAUUCGCUUUUUGACGUUUUUUUGUCACAUUUUUGCCGCUUUCUUGAGGUUUUAUUGUCAUUAUUUUUGUCGUUUUUGUCGCUUAAAUCAUUUCCAUCACUGUCAGCAUCUUUUUAUUUCUCUUUUCUUAUCUGCUGCUCUGGUUUUAUAAAUAU
Long non-coding RNA from Sander lucioperca (pikeperch), 272 nucleotides. RefSeq lists it as uncharacterized. NCBI's taxonomy places the organism in Eukaryota, Metazoa, Chordata, Actinopteri, Perciformes, Percidae. The transcript has 3 exons. The record is from RefSeq and is a predicted model, not a curated record.